GUGCUAGCUUCGGUAGCACAUAUACUAAAAUUGGAAUGAUACAGAGAGUAGCAUGGCCCCUGCUGAAGGAUGACAUGAAAAUUCAUGAAGCAUCCCAUGUUUUA
This is a small nuclear RNA of Cebus imitator (Panamanian white-faced capuchin), 104 nucleotides long. The record is from RefSeq and is a predicted model, not a curated record. NCBI's taxonomy places the organism in Eukaryota, Metazoa, Chordata, Mammalia, Primates, Cebidae.